This 301-nucleotide ribosomal RNA is filed under the name uncultured bacterium. RNAcentral describes it as "partial 16S ribosomal RNA". It matches the Rfam family "Bacterial small subunit ribosomal RNA", at positions 509 to 807 of the family's 1533-position model. The record is from RNAcentral.
CAGCCGCCGCGGGAAUACGAAGGGUGCAAGCGUUAAUCGGAAUUACUGGGCGUAAAGCGUGCGUAGGCGGUUUGUUAAGUCUGCUGUGAAAUCCCCGGGCUCAACCUGGGAAUGGCAGUGGAUACUGGCAAGCUAGAGUGUGUCAGAGGAUGGUGGAAUUCCCGGUGUAGCGGUGGAAUGCGUAGAGAUCGGGAGGAACAUCAGUGGCGAAGGCGGCCAUCUGGGACAACACUGACGCUGAGGCACGAAAGCGUGGGGAGCAAACAGGAUUAGAUACCCCAGUAGUCCCUGUCUCUUAUAC